CCUACGGGUGGCAGCAGUGGGGAAUAUUGGACAAUGGGCGAAAGCCUGAUCCAGCCAUGCCGCGUGUGUGAAGAAGGCCUUCGGGUUGUAAAGCACUUUCAGUGGGGAAGAAAGCCUUGGGGCUAAUACCCUCGAGGAAGGACAUCACCCACAGAAGAAGCACCGGCUAACUCCGUGCCAGCAGCCGCGGUAAUACGGAGGGUGCGAGCGUUAAUCGGAAUUACUGGGCGUAAAGCGCGCGUAAGCGGUCUGAUAAGCCGGUUGUGAAAGCCCCGGGCUCAACCUGGGAACGGCAUCCGGAACUGCCAGGCUAGAGUGCAGGAGAGGAAGGUAGAAUUCCCGGUGUAGCGGUGAAAUGCGUAGAGAUUGGGAGGAAUACCAGUGGCGAAGGCGGCCUUCUGGACUGACACUGACGCUGAGGUGCGAAAGCGUGGGUAGCAAACAGGAUUAGAUACCCGAGUAGUC
This 465-nucleotide ribosomal RNA is filed under the name Vreelandella stevensii. Its description in RNAcentral is "partial 16S ribosomal RNA". It matches the Rfam family "Bacterial small subunit ribosomal RNA", at positions 338 to 795 of the family's 1533-position model. The record is from RNAcentral. Lineage: Bacteria; Pseudomonadati; Pseudomonadota; Gammaproteobacteria; Oceanospirillales; Halomonadaceae.